This 1482-nucleotide ribosomal RNA is filed under the name uncultured Bordetella sp. RNAcentral describes it as "partial 16S-23S ribosomal RNA intergenic spacer". It matches the Rfam family "Bacterial small subunit ribosomal RNA". The record is from RNAcentral. Lineage: Bacteria; Pseudomonadati; Pseudomonadota; Betaproteobacteria; Burkholderiales; Alcaligenaceae.
AGUUACGUGUAUAGAACAUCAGGUAAUAUUAAGAGGUUCGAUCAUGGCUCAGAUUGAACACGCUGGCGGGUCUUUACAUACGAAGUCGAACCUGGCAGCGGACUUCGGUCUGGUGGCGGAGGUGGCAGACGGUCGAUAAUGUAUCCGGAACGUACCUAGUAGCGGGGGAUAACUACGCGGCGCGCUAAUACCGCAUACGCCCUUCGGGGGGAAAGCAGGGGACCUUCGGGCCUCGCACUAUUAAGAGCGGCGAUAUCGGAUUAGCCGUUGGUGAAAUUAACGGCUCACCAGAGCGACGAUCCGUCUUCGUUUGAGAAGGACGACCAGCCACACUGGGACUGAGACGGCCCAGACUCCUACAGGGAGGCAGCAGUGGGGAAUUUUGGAUAAUGGGGAAACCCUGAUCAGCCAUCCCCGCGUGUGCGAUGAAGGCCUUCGGGUUGUAAAGCACUUUUGGCGGAAAACGGCACGGGAUAAUACCCCGUGCAACUGACAAAACACCUGCAGAAUAGCACCGGCUAACUACGUGCCAGCAAUAACGGUAAUACACGUAGGGUGCAAACGUUGUCGAUUGCUGGGCGUAAAGCGUGCGCGGGCGGUUCGGAAGAAAGAUGUAAAUCGAACCUUUGGAACUGCAUUUUUAACUACCGAAACUGGGUGUGUCGGAGGUGGAAUUCCGUGUAGCAGUGAAAUGCGUAGAUAUGCGGAGGAACCUGAUAGCGAAGGCAGCCUCCUGGGAUACUGGCGCUCAUGCACAGCGUAUGGGAGCAAACAGGAUUAGAUACCCUGGUAGUCCACGCCUAAACGAUGUCAACUAGCUGUUGGGGCCUUCGGGCCUUGUGGCUACAACUAACGCGUGAAGUUGACCGCCUGGGAGAGUACGGUCGCGAAUUAAACUCAAAGGAAUUGACGGGGACGCACAAGCGGUGGAUGAUGGAUUAAUUCGAUGCAACGCGAAAAAGAGAAACCUUACCUACCCUUGACAUGUCUGGAAUCCGAAGAGAUUUGGGAGUGCUCGCAAGAGAACCGGAACACAGGUGCUGCUGGCUGUCGUCAGCUCGUGUCGUGAAUGUUAGGUUAAGUCUGGCGACCUGACCCGCCGUGGUGGUUGCUGAAAGGGCACUCCUAAUGGGGCUACCGGUGACAAACCGGAGGAAGGUGGGGAUGACGUCAAGUCCCUCGCGGCCCUUGGUGAGGCUUCACACGUCAUACAAUGGUCGGGACAAGAGGGUCGCCAACCCGCGAGGAGCCAAUCCCAGAAACCCGAUCGUAGUCCGGAUCGCAGUCUACAACUCGACUGCGUGAAGUCGGAAUCGCUAGUAAUCGCGGAUCAGCCGUCGCGGUGAAUACGUUCCCGGGUCUUGUACACACCGCCCGUCACACCAUGGGAGUGGGUUUUACCAGAAGUAGUUAGCCUAACCGUAAGGAGGCGAUUACCACCAUUAGGAUUCGCUUGACUGGGGUGAAGAAUCAACAAAGGUA